Molecule: ribosomal RNA, 2808 nt
Filed under: Mesorhizobium sp. URHA0056
Lineage: Bacteria; Pseudomonadati; Pseudomonadota; Alphaproteobacteria; Hyphomicrobiales; Phyllobacteriaceae
Description: bacterial LSU rRNA
Rfam family: Bacterial large subunit ribosomal RNA
Source: RNAcentral
UCAAGUGUCUUAAGGGCAAUUGGUGGAUGCCUUGGCAUGCACAGGCGAUGAAGGACGUGAUACGCUGCGAUAAGCUACGGGGAGGUGCGAAUACCCUUUGAUCCGUAGAUUUCCGAAUGGGGAAACCCACCUAAGGUGCUUGGAAAAUCAGAGUAGCAAGGUGACUUGCUGCUGUGGUUUCCAAGUAUCUGUUAUAGGUAACUUACCCUGAAUACAUAGGGGUAAAGUGGCGAACGCGGGGAACUGAAACAUCUAAGUACCCGUAGGAAAGGACAUCAACCGAGACUCCGGAAGUAGUGGCGAGCGAACCCGGACCAGGCCAGUGGCGAUUGAGAGACAAGCGGAACCUUCUGGAAAGUAGGGCCAUAGUGGGUGACAGCCCCGUACGCGUAAUGCGAUCAAUCGUCCUCGAGUAAGGCGGGACACGUGAAAUCCUGUCUGAAAUUGGGGGGACCACCCUCCAAGCCUAAGUACUCGUGCAUGACCGAUAGCGAACUAGUACCGUGAGGGAAAGGUGAAAAGCACCCCGACAAGGGGAGUGAAAGAGUACCUGAAACCGAUUGCCUACAAACAGUGGAAGCCCAAGGUUCGUCCUGGGUGACCACGUACCUUUUGUAUAAUGGGUCAGCGACUUAGUGUGACGAGCAAGCUUAAACCGCUAGGUGUAGGCGCAGCGAAAGCGAGUCUGAACAGGGCGUUCAGUUCGUCGCAUUAGACCCGAAACCGAGUGAUCUAGCCAUGAGCAGGUUGAAGGUAAGGUAACACUUACUGGAGGACCGAACCCAUAACUGUUGCAAUAGUUCGGGAUGACUUGUGGCUAGGGGUGAAAGGCCAAUCAAACUCGGAAAUAGCUGGUUCUCCGCGAAAUCUAUUUAGGUAGAGCGUCGACCGAAUACCCCAGGGGGUAGAGCACUGGAUGGGCUAGGGGUCCUCACCGGAUUACCAAACCUAACCAAACUCCGAAUACCUGGGAGUACUAGUCGGCAGACACACGGCGGGUGCUAACGUCCGUCGUGAAAAGGGAAACAACCCUGACCUACAGCUAAGGUCCCCAAGUUAUGGCUAAGUGGGAAAGGAUGUGAGGAUCCCAAAACAACCAGGAUGUUGGCUUAGAAGCAGCCAUCAUUUAAAGAAAGCGUAACAGCUCACUGGUCUAAAUAAGGGUCUUUGCGCCGAAAAUGUAACGGGGCUAAAGCCAUACACCGAAGCUUAGGGUUUGAUCCGCAAGGGUCAAGCGGUAGCGGAGCGUUCUGUAAGCUGAUGAAGCCAUACCCGUGAGGGGUGGUGGAGGUAUCAGAAGUGCGAAUGCUGACAUGAGUAACGUAAGGGGAGUGAGAGACUCCCCCGCCGAAAGACCAAGGGUUCCUGCUUAAAGCUAAUCUGAGCAGGGUUAGCCGGCCCCUAAGACGAGGCGGAAACGCGUAGUCGAUGGGAACCACGUUAAUAUUCGUGGGCUUGGAGGUAGUGACGGAUCAUUGAGGUAGUCCAAUCUUAUCGGAUUGAACGGGCUGCUGCGUGGUUCCAGGAAAUAGCUCCUCCUUAUAAACCGUACCCGAAACCGACACUGGUGGUCUGGUAGAGUAUACCAAGGCGCUUGAGAGAACUAUGCUGAAGGAACUCGGCAAAUUGCACGCGUAACUUCGGAAGAAGCGUGACCCUUUUCUACGCAAGUAGAGGAGGGUGGCACAGACCAGGGGGUAGCGACUGUUUAUCAAAAACACAGGGCUCUGCGAAGUCGCAAGACGACGUAUAGGGUCUGACGCCUGCCCGGUGCUGGAAGGUUAAGAGGAGGGGUGCAAGCUCUGAAUCGAAGCCCCAGUAAACGGCGGCCGUAACUAUAACGGUCCUAAGGUAGCGAAAUUCCUUGUCGGGUAAGUUCCGACCUGCACGAAUGGCGUAACGACUUCCCCGCUGUCUCCAGCAUAGACUCAGUGAAAUUGAAUUCCCCGUGAAGAUGCGGGGUUCCUGCGGUUAGACGGAAAGACCCCGUGCACCUUUACUAUAGCUUUACAUUGGCAUUCGUAGUGGCAUGUGUAGGAUAGGUGGUAGGCUUUGAAACCUGGGCGCCAGCUCAGGUGGAGCCACCCUUGAAAUACCACCCUUAUCACUAUGGAUGUCUAACCGCGGCCCGUUAUCCGGGUCCGGGACAAUGUAUGGUGGGUAGUUUGACUGGGGCGGUCGCCUCCUAAAGAGUAACGGAGGCGCGCGAUGGUGGGCUCAGAACGGUCGGAAAUCGUUCGCUGAGUGCAAUGGCAUAAGCCUGCCUGACUGCGAGACUGACAAGUCGAGCAGAGACGAAAGUCGGUCAUAGUGAUCCGGUGGUCCCGCGUGGAAGGGCCAUCGCUCAACGGAUAAAAGGUACGCCGGGGAUAACAGGCUGAUGACCCCCAAGAGUCCAUAUCGACGGGGUUGUUUGGCACCUCGAUGUCGACUCAUCGCAUCCUGGGGCUGGAGCAGGUCCCAAGGGUAUGGCUGUUCGCCAUUUAAAGCGGUACGUGAGUUGGGUUCAGAACGUCGUGAGACAGUUCGGUCCCUAUCUGCCGUGGGUGUAGGAAUAUUGAAAGGAUCUGUCCCUAGUACGAGAGGACCGGGAUGGACGGAUCUCUGGUGGACCUGUUGUGGCGCCAGCCGCAUAGCAGGGUAGCUAUAUCCGGACGGGAUAACCGCUGAAGGCAUCUAAGCGGGAAACCCACCUUAAAACGAGUAUUCCCUGAGAACCGUGGAAGACGACCACGUUGAUAGGCCGGGUGUGGAAGAGCGGCAACGCUUGAAGCUUACCGGUACUAAUAGUUCGAUCGGCUUGAUCGU